GAUGAACGCUGGCGGCGUGCCUAAUACAUGCAAGUCGAGCGAACAGACGAGGAGCUUGCUCCUCUGACGUUAGCGGCGGACGGGUGAGUAACACGUGGAUAACCUACCUAUAAGACUGGGAUAACUUCGGGAAACCGGAGCUAAUACCGGAUAAUAUAUUGAACCGCAUGGUUCAAUAGUGAAAGACGGUUUUGCUGUCACUUAUAGAUGGAUCCGCGCCGCAUUAGCUAGUUGGUAAGGUAACGGCUUACCAAGGCAACGAUGCGUAGCCGACCUGAGAGAGUGAUCGGCCACACUGGAACUGAGACACGGUCAAGACUCCUACGGGAGGCAGCAGUAGGGAAUCUUCCGCAAUGGUCGAAAGCCUGACGGAGCAACGCCGCGUGAGUGAUGAAGGUCUUCGGAUCGUAAAACUCUGUUAUUAGGGAAGAACAAAUGUGUAAGUAACUAUGCACGUCUUGACGGUACCUAAUCAGAAAGCCACGGCUAACUACGUG
This 497-nucleotide ribosomal RNA is filed under the name uncultured bacterium. RNAcentral describes it as "partial 16S ribosomal RNA". It matches the Rfam family "Bacterial small subunit ribosomal RNA", at positions 28 to 507 of the family's 1533-position model. The record is from RNAcentral.